This 253-nucleotide ribosomal RNA is filed under the name uncultured bacterium. Its description in RNAcentral is "partial 16S ribosomal RNA". It matches the Rfam family "Bacterial small subunit ribosomal RNA", at positions 524 to 776 of the family's 1533-position model. The record is from RNAcentral.
UACGGAGGGCGCAAGCGUUAAUCGGAAUCACUGGGCGUAAAGCGCGCGUAGGCUGUUUGAUAAGUCAGACGUGAAAUCCCUCGGCUCAACCGGGGAACUGCGUUUGAUACUGUCGAACUCGAGUCCUGGAGAGGGUGGCGGAAUUCCUGGUGUAGGAGUGAAAUCCGUAGAUAUCAGGAGGAACACCGGUGGCGAAGGCGGCCACCUGGACAGUUACUGACGCUGAGGCGUGAAAGCGUUGGGAGCAAACAGG